AAACAACCCUGUGAGUGCGUGAUGGGUGCCGGGAAUUCUGAGCUAUUGCUGUGGACAGCAAGGCCCAGACAGGCCAGAAUGCCUGCUCUGCUAGAGCAACAGGGUGCGCUAGAAUGGCGACAUUCUAAUAAGGUGGAAUCUGCCCAAGGCUUGCUCCAGCUGCUUCCUGCUCAAAUGCUGGCCAGUUUGGUGGCCUAGAACGAGACAGACUGUGAGCUAUGAAGACAGCUGUCCAGUGACUGUCAAGUGCUUGUGUGGUACCCACCAUCUCUGGCCUGAUGGAGACCAAAGGUGAUCAGGGCUUCCUUUCCAGCAUUGCCUCUCGGAAGGCUUAGUGCAAAAGAUGACCGGUAACCAUGUGUUUCCUCUAACCGCAGGGAACCUGCCACAGAGCACCCGAGGACAAAUCACGACCAUUAUUAUUAAAUACAAAUUCCCUAAAUAUGUAGUGUAAAAUAGCAAUGAGCCGCAGAGUCGGGAGAGGAAUUUCUCCUUCUGAAAUUCCACUUGGCCAAUAAUAAGAAGAUAACGACAACAGUAAGAACCAUAAAGUAUUUUGAGCACUCACCAUGCACUGGAUUCUCUCUGAA
This is a non-coding RNA of Peromyscus maniculatus bairdii (prairie deer mouse), 590 nucleotides long. Lineage: Eukaryota; Metazoa; Chordata; Mammalia; Rodentia; Cricetidae. The record is from RefSeq and is a predicted model, not a curated record.